RNAcentral lists this ribosomal RNA (386 nucleotides) under uncultured bacterium. RNAcentral describes it as "bacterial SSU rRNA". It matches the Rfam family "Bacterial small subunit ribosomal RNA", at positions 30 to 418 of the family's 1533-position model. The record is from RNAcentral.
AUUGAACGCUGGCGGCAUGCCUUACACAUGCAAGUCGAACGGCAGCGGACCUUCGGGUGCCGGCGAGUGGCGAACGGGUGAGUAAUGCAUCGGAACGUGCCAUUGAGUGGGGGAUAACGUAGCGAAAGUUACGCUAAUACCGCAUAUUCUGUGAGCAGGAAAGCAGGGGACCGCAAGGCCUUGCGCUCUUUGAGCGGCCGAUGUCAGAUUAGCUAGUUGGUGAGGUAAAGGCUUACCAAGGCGACGAUCUGUAGCGGGUCUGAGAGGAUGAUCCGCCACACUGGAACUGAGACACGGUCCAGACUCCUACGGGAGGCAGCAGUGGGGAAUUUUGGACAAUGGGCGCAAGCUUGAUCCAGCCAUGCCGCGUGAGUGAAGAAGGCCUU